RNAcentral lists this non-coding RNA (753 nucleotides) under Pongo abelii (Sumatran orangutan). Lineage: Eukaryota; Metazoa; Chordata; Mammalia; Primates; Hominidae. The record is from RNAcentral.
AGUCCACAGGCUCACCCCCACCCUUUCUCAGAGAGCUGCUUUCAUAUGGCUGGAUUCUUCUGUCACAGUCUGCAUUUCAUCCUAGGAUUGUCCUGAUUCCCUAAAUGAAUUUUAUUUUUUUUGAGAAAGGGUCUGGCAGCCUCAAACCCCUGGGCUUAGGUGAUCCUCCCACCUCAGCCCCCAAGUAGCUGGGACCACAGGCACGUGCCACCAGGCUCAGCUAAUUUUUACUUUUUUUUUUUUGUAGAGAUCAACCUCUCUCUGUUUCCUAGGCUGGUCUCGAACUCCUGGACUCAAGCAAUCCUCCUGCCUUAGCCUCCAAAAGUGCUGGGAUUACAGGCAUGAGCAACUGUAUCCAGCUAAACAACCUCUCUUCUUGCAACACUGUUUCCUUGUACCAUUACUGAUGCUGGAAAAAGAGAAAAGGACAUCAUUUUGCCCUCAGGGAGCUCACAGUCUAACAGAGGGAGAGGCAUGUGAACAACUACAACUUCUAUAGUAUAAGAAAACACUAAAUUGGAGACAUGAUCAAAGUAGUGCAGGGGAGGGAGUGGAGUGAGACUUCCUGGGGUCAUCCAGAAGGGCUUCACGGCAGGGAACACUACACUUCCUUAAAAAUUAAGAGUGUGUGCUACACUGCUUUACUAGAGCAAGACCAAAAGCAGCUUCAAUUAUGGUACAACUGUGUGAAGACACAAUGCAAAACCACUCAAGAAUGCUCACUCAAAUGGAUCUUUUACGAUGGAAUUCGGA